Molecule: small nucleolar RNA, 136 nt
Filed under: Operophtera brumata (winter moth)
Lineage: Eukaryota; Metazoa; Arthropoda; Insecta; Lepidoptera; Geometridae
Description: Small nucleolar RNA SNORA53
Rfam family: Small nucleolar RNA SNORA53
About the family: The snoRNA ACA53 belongs to the H/ACA family of pseudouridylation guide snoRNAs.
Source: Rfam by way of RNAcentral
AGCACACUCCUUAGAUCCGUUUCAUUCUCAAUGUGAAACGCUUGAGUCAUAAGUGUGCAAUAGAACAGUACCUCCAAUUCAAGACUGACAUGUGCUAUUCUUCUGUGGAUGACAAUUGUCUUGAGAUGGGGAACAU